UACGGGGGGGGCAAGCGUUGUUCGGAAUUACUGGGCGUAAAGGGCUCGUAGGCGGCCAACUAAGUCGGACGUGAAAUCCCUCGGCUUAACCGGGGAACUGCGUCCGAUACUGGAUGGCUUGAGUUUGGGAGAGGGAUGCGGAAUUCCAGGUGUAGCGGUGAAAUGCGUAGAUAUCUGGAGGAAUACCGGUGGCGAAGGCGGCAUCCUGGACCGACACUGACGCUGAGGAGCGAAAGCCAGGGGAGCAAACGGG
RNAcentral lists this ribosomal RNA (253 nucleotides) under uncultured bacterium. Its description in RNAcentral is "partial 16S ribosomal RNA". It matches the Rfam family "Bacterial small subunit ribosomal RNA", at positions 524 to 776 of the family's 1533-position model. The record is from RNAcentral.